RNAcentral lists this ribosomal RNA (399 nucleotides) under Triticum aestivum (bread wheat). Its description in RNAcentral is "partial small subunit ribosomal RNA". Lineage: Eukaryota; Viridiplantae; Streptophyta; Magnoliopsida; Poales; Poaceae. The record is from RNAcentral.
AUGAAUUUUCCAUUAGUAUCACACGUCAGUGGAUUUCUUUGCAUCCUACAAAUAUCCCAAGGGGCAAGGGCCCCAGCGAACGGAUCCACGGAGGCGAGCCGGCCAGCGGCGACACACUCUGUGCCCUGGCAGGAACUCGAAUCCACCGAGUCGAACCGGCCAGGAUCCGACUGUCCGGCGGUGAAGAGUGGAGAUGUGGAGUCCAGGGUUGACCAUGGCAAUCUAGAGCAGUGUGGGGGCAGCGUGGGAUACUGGGAUUUCUUCUAUUUACUCCAAGAGACCAAGAACAGGAAUCAAGAAGACAAGAUUUUAGGUGUUCUCUCUCCAUUUUUCUGUAACCAUGUUGCAAAAAAAGCAUUUAUCUGGUUGUGCGAAAUGGAAAAAAGAAGAAACUUGUAG